Molecule: ribosomal RNA, 468 nt
Filed under: uncultured bacterium
Lineage: Bacteria
Description: partial 16S ribosomal RNA
Rfam family: Bacterial small subunit ribosomal RNA
Source: RNAcentral
GACGAACGCUGGCGGCGUGCUUAACACAUGCAAGUCGAACGGAAAGGCCCUGCUUUUGUGGGGUGCUCGAGUGGCGAACGGGUGCGUAACACGUGAGUAACCUGCCCUUGACUUUGGGAUAACUUCAGGAAACUGGGGCUAAUACCGGAUAGGAGCUCCUGCUGCAUGGUGGGGGUUGGAAAGUUUCGGCGGUUGGGGAUGGACUCGCGGCUUAUCAGCUUGUUGGUGGGGUAGUGGCUUACCAAGGCUUUGACGGGUAGCCGGCCUGAGAGGGUGACCGGCCACAUGGGGACUGAGGGACGGCCCAGACUGCUACGGGAGGCAACAGUGGGGAAUAUUGCACAAUGGGCGGAAGCCUGAUGCAGCAACGCCGGGUGCGGGAUGACGGCCUUCGGGUUGUAAACCGCUUUCGCCUGUGACGAAGCGGGAGUGACGGUAAUGGGUAAAGAAGCACCGGCUAACUACGUG